AUUGCUCUAGUAACGGCGAGUGAAGCAGCAAUAGCUCAAAUUUGAAAUCUGGCGUCUUCGACGUCCGAGUUGUAAUUUGUAGAGGAUGCUUCUGAGUAACCACCGACCUAAGUUCCUUGGAACAGGACGUCAUAGAGGGUGAGAAUCCCGUAUGCGGUCGGAAAGGUGCUCUAUACGUAGCUCCUUCGACGAGUCGAGUUGUUUGGGAAUGCAGCUCUAAAUGGGAGGUAAAUUUCUUCUAAAGCUAAAUAUUGGCCAGAGACCGAUAGCGCACAAGUAGAGUGAUCGAAAGAUGAAAAGCACUUUGGAAAGAGAGUUAAAAAGCACGUGAAAUUGUUAAAAGGGAAGGGAUUGCAACCAGACUUGCUCGCGGUGUUCCGCCGGUCUUCUGACCGGUCUACUCGCCGCGUUGCAGGCCAGCAUCGUCUGGUGCCGCUGGAUAAGACUUGAGGAAUGUAGCUCCCUCGGGAGUGUUGUAGCCUCUUGUGAUGCAGCCAGCGCCGGGCGAGGUCCGCGCUUCGGCUAGGAUGCUGGCGUAAUGGUCGUAAUCCGCCCGUCUUGAAACACAGACCACCAUUAC
RNAcentral lists this ribosomal RNA (580 nucleotides) under Cladosporium cladosporioides. Its description in RNAcentral is "LSU rRNA". It matches the Rfam family "Eukaryotic large subunit ribosomal RNA", at positions 74 to 664 of the family's 3401-position model. Lineage: Eukaryota; Fungi; Ascomycota; Dothideomycetes; Cladosporiales; Cladosporiaceae. The record is from RNAcentral.